This 233-nucleotide long non-coding RNA is filed under the name Mytilus galloprovincialis (Mediterranean mussel). Lineage: Eukaryota; Metazoa; Mollusca; Bivalvia; Mytilida; Mytilidae. The record is from RNAcentral.
CGGCCAUUUUGUUUAGUAGGCGGGGUCAUCGGACACAUUUUUUAAACUAUAUACCACUAUGAUAAUUGUGGCCAAGUUUGGUUAAAUUUGGCCAAGUAGUUUCAGAGAAGAAGACUUUUGUACAAAGUUACAAAAAAUUACGAAAAGUUGUUAAAAAUUGACUAUAAAGGGCAAUAACUCCUUGAGGGGUUGACUGACAAUUUUGGUAUUGUUGAUUUAUUUGUAGGUCUUAC